UUGAUCCCUGGCUCAGAUUGAACGCUGGCGGCAGGCCUAACACAUGCCAAGUCGAGCGGAUGACAGGAGCUUGCUCCUGAAUUCAGCGGCGGACGGGUGAGUAAUGCCUAGGAAUCUGCCUGGUAGUGGGGGACAACGUUUCGAAAGGAACGCUAAUACCGCAUACGUCCUACGGGAGAAAGCAGGGGACCUUCGGGCCUUGCGCUAUCAGAUGAGCCUAGGUCGGAUUAGCUAGUUGGUGAGGUAAUGGCUCACCAAGGCGACGAUCCGUAACUGGUCUGAGAGGAUGAUCAGUCACACUGGAACUGAGACACGGUCCAGACUCCUACGGGAGGCAGCAGUGGGGAAUAUUGGACAAUGGGCGAAAGCCUGAUCCAGCCAUGCCGCGUGUGUGAAGAAGGUCUUCGGAUUGUAAAGCACUUUAAGUUGGGAGGAAGGGCAUUAACCUAAUACGUUAGUGUUUUGACGUUACCGACAGAAUAAGCACCGGCUAAC
Molecule: ribosomal RNA, 495 nt
Filed under: Pseudomonas sp. CL2.120
Lineage: Bacteria; Pseudomonadati; Pseudomonadota; Gammaproteobacteria; Pseudomonadales; Pseudomonadaceae
Description: bacterial SSU rRNA
Rfam family: Bacterial small subunit ribosomal RNA
Source: RNAcentral